RNAcentral lists this long non-coding RNA (887 nucleotides) under Mytilus galloprovincialis (Mediterranean mussel). The record is from RNAcentral. Lineage: Eukaryota; Metazoa; Mollusca; Bivalvia; Mytilida; Mytilidae.
UCUGAAUUAUUGCCUUGACCGUCUUAUUCCCCAGCAUGUUAUAUAAAAGAGCUAAUACAGACAUAAUCGUUUUUCAAUCGGUUUUCAUAUCUCUCACAUACCCUUCUUAAAUUUCAUGUUUGUAUGCUCCAUAGAUAUGUAGUAGUGAACGUUAUUAACGUAAUAUUGAGGUUUUUAAAGCCGCGAUAUAACAACCACUGAUUUAAAAGUAUGCCGAGGAGUAUCAUAGUCAUAAAUGUUUCUGAAUUUCUACGUUCAGUCGGUACUCUUGUGAUAUUUCGACCAGAAUAUAUGAAAUAUUUGCCACUGAAAGUUUGGGAACCACUACCUAAUCUUAUAAUAGCUUACAGGAAAAACAGAUUUUAGAACGAAUGUGCAAACAACCAUACCAACAGACCUCAAAUACAUACUGAGGCUAAGGACAAGAUUUAUUCAAAAGCAACAAAACAAUCAACUCUACCCAAGAAAACAACAAAAGUUUACGAUUCGAACUAAAUAGAAAAACUAAUUUUCGUGGCAAAAUUUAUAGGCCAGAAGAUCAACUUGAAAACAGUUUGAUGUGUAUUUGGGCAUAAAGCGAAAACGGUUUGCUGGGAAGGGAAAAAAAUGAUCUCUAACUAGCAAUAUAUCAAAGUUUUUAAUUUCAGUGAAUGGAAAGGCCGUAUCUACACAAAACAGUGUUGGAUUAUGAUGAUCUAAGUGUGAGGGUAUCCUCUGCUCUGGAUGAUGUUCUUGAAUCUUAUUUGAUAAUCUUAUACACAAAUGUAUUGCGAUUCAUUAUUUGUAGAUUUAACUAGACAUGUUUUAAUUCUGUCAUAUGGAGAUUACAAGCAUACCCUGAAUAGAUGAAUCGAAUUUGAAGAAUAUCAAAAUCAGUUUCAUUAAAG